CAGCAGCCGCGGUAAUACGAAGGGGGCUAGCGUUGUUCGGAUUUACUGGGCGUAAAGCGCACGUAGGCGGACUUUUAAGUCAGGGGUGAAAUCCCGGGGCUCAACCCCGGAACUGCCUUUGAUACUGGAAGUCUUGAGUAUGGUAGAGGUGAGUGGAAUUCCGAGUGUAGAGGUGAAAUUCGUAGAUAUUCGGAGGAACACCAGUGGCGAAGGCGGCUCACUGGACCAUUACUGACGCUGAGGUGCGAAAGCGUGGGGAGCAAACAGGAUUAGAUACCCGCGUAGUCCCUGUCUCUUAUAA
This 301-nucleotide ribosomal RNA is filed under the name uncultured bacterium. RNAcentral's name for it is "partial 16S ribosomal RNA". It matches the Rfam family "Bacterial small subunit ribosomal RNA", at positions 509 to 809 of the family's 1533-position model. The record is from RNAcentral.